CCGGUGCAGACGACGACGUUGAUAGGCCGGGUGUGUAAGCGCAGCGAUGCGUUGAGCUAACCGGUACUAAUGAACCGUGAGGCUUAACCUUACAACGCCGAAG
RNAcentral lists this ribosomal RNA (103 nucleotides) under Salmonella enterica subsp. enterica serovar Typhimurium. RNAcentral describes it as "partial 23S ribosomal RNA". The stretch from base 1 to 91 matches the Rfam family "Bacterial large subunit ribosomal RNA", at positions 2835 to 2925 of the family's 2925-position model. The record is from RNAcentral. Lineage: Bacteria; Pseudomonadati; Pseudomonadota; Gammaproteobacteria; Enterobacterales; Enterobacteriaceae.